Molecule: ribosomal RNA, 253 nt
Filed under: uncultured bacterium
Lineage: Bacteria
Description: partial 16S ribosomal RNA
Rfam family: Bacterial small subunit ribosomal RNA
Source: RNAcentral
UACGAAGGGGGCUAGCGUUGCUCGGAUUGACUGGGCGUAAAGGGCGCGUAGGCGGUUUGCAUAGUCAGACGUGAAAUUCCUGGGCUUAACCUGGGGGCUGCGUUUGAUACAUGCAGGCUUGAGUUCGGAAGAGGGUCGUGGAAUUCCCAGUGUAGAGGUGAAAUUCGUAGAGAUCGGGAGGAACACCCGUGGCGAAGGCGGCCAUCUGGACCAGUACUGACGCUGAGGCACGAAAGCGUGGGGAGCGAACAGG